GGUACAACAUCAAUCUGCUUGCAUACAAUGAGCAAGACACCGUCCUGAAAGCAGCAGUGUGUUGCCUUUGGUCCGAGGAAGGAAUGCGACGAGAACAGAAACAGAACUCAGGUUUUGGCUGAGGUUAUUCUAAACAUCAGAAUUUAUAAGUUUGCCAGUUACAAGUUUGGACCUAUUUUCUUUGCAUCUGAACCAGCCUGCAAGCAAAAGAUCAAGGCCGCACGUCAAUCUCCCAAGGAAGCUACUUGCAUUCUCCGCAGCUAGAAAGCUUUCAAAGCAACACGCCCAAAUAAACUGGCAAGACAACUGGGAACCUAUUCCAGACUGGAACACUGCAUUCAAACCUAGAAGUUGAGCGUCAGAGAAACACAAGAGAAUUGGGCAAGACAGCAGCCACUGUUUUCUGUAAUACAACAUCUAAAUUCCAAGGCAGAUGCACCUCUUCAAAAAACACCAUAGCUACUUACAGAGGAGGUCAAUGUUUCUUCCCCUCUUUCCCCUUCAGUUGCAUUUUUAUUGCGUAUAAAAUCACAUAUACAUACACAGGCAGCUCCAGCAACUUGAAGAAGAAUAUGUAUUAAACACAGAAUAAGGCUACUUCUAAAAUAAGAUAGAUCUUUUCUCACAAAAGUAGCCUUCCUAAAAGCUGAAAGAUCAUGCCACCCGUUUCAUUAUAGACGGAUGCAGAAAGGCCGUGGAGACCAACCAAGAAAGAAACAGGAUCCUCAAACGUUUCCUUAAAAUAAAAUAGUCCUUCCCAAUGAACAGCACUACCACGCAAAGCGGAGCAGGACAGACACUAGCGAGUCAGGAAUAUUCUUCAGAUAUCAGAGUAAUUGGAAAAUCAGCAACAUACAGCUAUACUUAGUAAACAAGUUGGGCUGAAACUACUGAGGAUGAAUAGAAAAGGCACCUCACCGAGAGACAAAAUAACAAAAAGUAACAAAAAAUCCUAUUCCAUCUAACUCCAGUAAGAAGUCUUAGAGCAGAAAGCUUAAGAGGAGCGUUGUAUUACUCACUGAUGGCAUGAAGCACGAAUACUUACAACAUAGAGCCAGAAGAAAAAAAUAUAUAGAUAGAUACAAGAAGGGAAAGGAGAGUAGAAAGGAAGCAUGAAAACGUUACAUGUGUUCCAAGAUUUAGCAAUAAACUCAGGCCUUUAAUCUCUCUGGUGUCUCUCUUCACAUCCCACCCCUCCAGCAGCACCGCACUUUUCCUACCACUGCCUGCCUGAACCAUCAGCUCUGACCACCAGCUUGUCCACUAACACCGCCUUUUAAGCGGAGUGCACACAAGGUAUGUUUCUUAAAAACGACUCAAAGCUCUCAGAAGAGCUUCUACGUCACCCCGUCGGGUUUCAAGGUAUCCAUCCUUCAGCACCCCAUGGAAGAAAACCAAAAUUCUACACUGUUUUAAAGAAACAAGUGGAAUCAGAAGGAUCAACAAUUCCUCCUUAAACUAUACUAAUGAGCACAAGCACUAACACAGAGACGAAAAAUGAGGCAAAUAGUGGCUCCACUGGAGCUAGGAAGUAACUGGGAAAAAGAUUUCUUGAAAAGGGAGUAAGGGAAGCUCUUAUAAAUAGCUGUUUAUUAGGCAAUUCUGAUCUUUCUGAACAAAACAACUGUCCCUACUAGAAACGUUCACCAUGAGCCAGAGCACAGAGACCUGCACAGUCAUCAUAUAUACCAUACGUUAUAAAACGAGUUACCCUCUAACACCUUCCCCAUUGCCUUAUAUGCAGGUAAAACAGGAACAACAUUCUUAGCCUUGAAAUUACCUUCAUUAAGAAUUUGACUUAGUAAGGACUUAAAGUAAAAAGGUUAAAUUUCACUUUAGUAAUGGCUAGAAACCACACUAAGAAGGGAAACAACUCCUUAAUAACAAGGAGUGGCAUGCAGAAUCCUGCUCUACAGUAACGGUAUAAUUAGCAAAAUAAUUCUGCUUACAAAAAAAAUAAAAGAUGCAUCUGAGGAUUUUUAAGAGUGCUGUUCUUGAUCAAUAUUUCUUCUUACAUACAUCACGACAUACACCACCAAAAAAAAAUCCUUUGAGAGUAGGCUUCUCAGGCAAGAGAGAUAUCUGUCAUAUAACUAUUCUUCCCAAAAACAUUCAGUUAAAGAGUAUGAAAUAUAUACAAAAUUAUCCUCAGCAUCCCAGGUAUUAAAAAUACUUCUAAAAAAGAGAGAAGAGAGUCUCUCUAUUACACCGUGUGCAUUUCAUCUUUUGCUUCUUGUUUUUUCUAAAGCAAAAGUGUCAUUCACAACCAGGCCAAAAAGAUCAUUUGCAGAAAGAUCACUUUUUCAACAUACAAUCCUUUACUUCUGAGCUGGCUACAGAACGAGGGUUCCUACUCACUGCCCAUUAACUAAAGCCUGUUUUAACAAAAGGCGAGCUACCACCGAGCUUCUGAAGCUUGUCUUCCUUGCUACUGUACUUUAAUCACCCCUGGCACCAAUCAAGGUCAUCUUUCUCAGGCAGGAUAGACUUAUGUUCUGCCAAAGUUUUUAUUUUUAAGAAAACUAGCACACUGACAAUAGCAUAUAGCAAUCUCAUGAACUAAGCCCUGUGAAUGAAGCUGAACCUACUGCUGCUAUGAAGACCUUCACCACACACGCUUCUGAAGUCUAGAAAGGCAGCCAUUAAAAAAAACUGAGUAAUUUUUUGCCUUCAUAUUCUAGCACAAAUAAAUGACAAACAACCAAACUUGCCAUAGCUAGUCAUUCCACAUGUUCAUUUUUCUCUGUACUGAGCCCAGCCACAGAUGAAUCACGAAACACACUCUUCUUACGCUCCUGAAACUAAGAGCUCAGACAACCACAAGCCAGCACCAAAAAUCCUCUCGGCUGGAGUCCUCGGGGGGCCCCCCCCUCUAACUGCCAGUUUACCCCUGGGGAGUUCAGGGAAGGUUUGAAAGGUUUUAGUGAAGCCACAGGUUCAGGAGACGCUUUGGCUCUUCAAACCCAGGAGAGCAGCACACUCUCAUA
Molecule: long non-coding RNA, 2987 nt
Organism: Struthio camelus australis
Lineage: Eukaryota; Metazoa; Chordata; Aves; Struthioniformes; Struthionidae
Source: RefSeq, a predicted model, not a curated record